UCUCUGUGAUGAACAUAAACGAUGACGAGUCCGAUUAUCCAUUCUUUCAAUCGUGACGACAAUCGAGGCAUUUGUCUGAGAGAA
Tripterygium wilfordii is the source of this 84-nucleotide small nucleolar RNA. The record is from RefSeq and is a predicted model, not a curated record. NCBI's taxonomy places the organism in Eukaryota, Viridiplantae, Streptophyta, Magnoliopsida, Celastrales, Celastraceae.